This 73-nucleotide transfer RNA is filed under the name Candidatus Taenariivivens baikalensis. Its description in RNAcentral is "tRNA-Thr". It matches the Rfam family "tRNA". Rfam says of the family: Transfer RNA (tRNA) molecules are approximately 80 nucleotides in length. Their secondary structure includes four short double-helical elements and three loops (D, anti-codon, and T loops). The record is from RNAcentral. Lineage: Bacteria; Pseudomonadati; Candidatus Omnitrophota.
GCUGGCGUAGCUCAGUUGGUAGAGCAGCUGUUUUGUAAACAGCAUGUCGCCCGUUCAAAUCGGGCCGCCAGCU